Molecule: transfer RNA, 77 nt
Filed under: Vibrio anguillarum
Lineage: Bacteria; Pseudomonadati; Pseudomonadota; Gammaproteobacteria; Vibrionales; Vibrionaceae
Description: tRNA-Asp
Rfam family: tRNA
About the family: Transfer RNA (tRNA) molecules are approximately 80 nucleotides in length. Their secondary structure includes four short double-helical elements and three loops (D, anti-codon, and T loops). Further hydrogen bonds mediate the characteristic L-shaped molecular structure. tRNAs have two regions of fundamental functional importance: the anti-codon, which is responsible for specific mRNA codon recognition, and the 3' end, to which the tRNAs corresponding amino acid is attached (by aminoacyl-tRNA synthetases). tRNAs cope with the degeneracy of the genetic code in two manners: having more than one tRNA (with a specific anti-codon) for a particular amino acid; and 'wobble' base-pairing, i.e. permitting non-standard base-pairing at the 3rd anti-codon position.
Source: RNAcentral
GGAUGGGUAGUUUAGUUGGAUAGAAUACCGGCCUGUCGCGGCGGGGGUCGCGGGUUCGAGUCCCGUCCGCUCCGGCA